UCUUCCCAGCCUUCACUCUCUC
This 22-nucleotide microRNA is filed under the name Shrimp white spot syndrome virus. RNAcentral's name for it is "wssv-mir123". The record is from RNAcentral. Lineage: Naldaviricetes; Nimaviridae.